Tulasnella sp. 408 is the source of this 100-nucleotide non-coding RNA. The record is from the annotation of a GenBank genome assembly. NCBI's taxonomy places the organism in Eukaryota, Fungi, Basidiomycota, Agaricomycetes, Cantharellales, Tulasnellaceae.
UCUUCUCUGGUAUAUCGGUAGAACAUCACCCUGUCAUUUGGGCGCCUAGCCCAGAUUCCCACGGCCGGUGAAGAGCUGGGUUCGACUCCCAGGAGGAGAG